GACGAACGCUGGCGGCGUGCUUAACACAUGCAAGUCGAACGGAAAGGCCCUGCUUUUGUGGGGUGCUCGAGUGGCGAACGGGUGAGUAACACGUGAGUAACCUGCCCUUGACUUUGGGAUAACUUCAGGAAACUGGGGCUAAUACCGGAUAGGAGCUCCUGCUGCAUGUUGGGGGUUGGAAAGUUUCGGCGGUUGGGGAUGGACUCGCGGCUUAUCAGCUUGUUGGGGGGGUAGUGGCUUACCAAGGGUUUGAAGGGUAGCCGGCCUGGGAGGGUGAACGGCCUCAAUGGGCCUGAGAUACGGCGCAGAAGGCUACGGGAGGCAGCAGGGGGGAAUUUGGCACAAUGGGCGGAAGCCUGAUGCAGCAAUGUUGCGUGCGGGAUGACGGGUUAUGGGUUGUAAACAGAUUUGGACGGUGAUGAAGAGUUAGUGACGGUAAUGGGUAAAGAAGCACCGGCUAACUACGUG
This 468-nucleotide ribosomal RNA is filed under the name uncultured bacterium. Its description in RNAcentral is "partial 16S ribosomal RNA". It matches the Rfam family "Bacterial small subunit ribosomal RNA", at positions 28 to 507 of the family's 1533-position model. The record is from RNAcentral.